GGGGAAAGACUGGAUUACAGUAUUCUGCAAUGAAUAACUUUGCACUCAUCAAAAAACAAACAAACAAACAGAAACAAAUGAACAGCAAAAAAAAAGAAAACCCAAGAGUCCGAGAUAAAGCAAGUAACUGUAUAACAAAAGUAUGCCGAAGAAGGAUGUAUUAAAUAGCAUCAAGUACAUCACUGAAGCACAAAAAAAGGAAGAAGAAAAACCUCAGCCCUAACUGGCAGCAAAUAAAAGGUUGUUAACCACAUGGAGAUCUGUCUUUGGGCACUGCCAAAUUGAAAACUGGAUGGAACACAAUUUUGAAGAUUAUAACUGGAGAGAUGAUUAGAGGCAUGGGGGAAGCUUUUUCAAGGACUUACUAAGGAAAUGGGAUUGUAAUUAGAAAAGGAAAUGGAAUCAAGAGAAGAUUUCUUAAAGGUGAGCUGAAAAGGCUUUUGUAAACAGUAAAAACACACAUUCAGAAGCCACAUUGACAACACAAUGUUGCUGCAAGUUCACUUGUAAUUUUAAGCCUGCAAAUGAGUCAGAAGUGCAUUUUAAAUCUAAUUAGGUGAAAAUUUGUUUCUCUUCUGCAGCUCUCUCAGAAGCGGAGUAUAAGAUUCCAUGCUCAACAUGAGAAAAUUGAGAUGAUCUCUCAGCCCUGGGGUGGCCUGAUCCAGCCAACACUUGCAGAUGUGCUUAGUUUCAUUGGAAUAUUUCCCCACUGAUUUCACUAAUUUGAAUUUGAACAACAGCAAGACUGGAACACCAAGUCUUCAAGGUUUCAGCUGGUCCAGACAGAAAGGGAAAAAAUCGUGCUGAAAACAUUGAAAGAGAGAAGUAACGGAGAGAAAUGAAAGGAGAUAAGUAGGCUUGGGAAAAAGAGACAGAACAAGCACAGCUGAAGAGUCAGAAUAGACUACAUAUUUAUUUUCUUUAAAAAGGUAUGUUUCCUGUCCUUCCUGAUUGGAGAAGCAAUGCACCUGUGAGUUGCAGCCAAGCUCAUGAAGUGUUUUCUUACAGGCAUCUAAAGCUCUUCUUGAAAGCACUGGCCACUGCCCAAGACAGGAUGCUAUACUAG
Molecule: long non-coding RNA, 1066 nt
Filed under: Anas platyrhynchos platyrhynchos (common mallard)
Lineage: Eukaryota; Metazoa; Chordata; Aves; Anseriformes; Anatidae
Description: lncRNA (ENSAPLG00000019420.1)
Source: RNAcentral